AAACUGCCCCCCCAAAGAAUCUUCCCACCAGGACACUCGGCUCUCUGGGGCAAGGCAGGCGGGUACACGAGAGACGGGCCUUCCACUGAGAUGGUGACUCAGUGGCCACUGUCCCCUUCCUCUGGAACGUGGAAACCCAGUUAUUCCAACACACCUGAUGCGGUUCCCAGGCUUCCUGGCACUCCCACCUGCUCUUCUUGGAUCUGAGCUUUCAUAUUUCCCCUCGCAAUCAUAGUUACAUCUGUGUGCCCUGGGGCAAGGGAUUGCUCUCCUGAGCCUCAGUUUCCCUACCAGUAACGCAAGGAUGCUACAAGCCACCUCAUAGGGUUGCCCUGAAGAUGAACCAGGUUUAACUUAGCAGCUCCAGGCGUGGCCCGGGCCAUGGAAGCCUGACCCGGAGGCCCCGAGGCGCUGUGCAUAAGAAUAAACAUAUCUUGGCUCCUGGGCCCCAAUGGGGGGCCCCUUGUGACCCCCACCUUGACUGCCAGCGUGUUCUCUAGACUCACAUACCCCGGGAGAUGGAUCAUUCGCUGUUAUCUCCCUUUGGUGUAGACUCGCAGGCUCACCUGUCCUAGAAUCCAGAGACUUGGAAGGCAGUGCACUCAGACCCAACGAUCACAGAGCACGACAGGAUGGAUUCCCACUCCACUUUGGAUGAGAUUAUGUGUGCACUUUCUGGCACGAUAUUUGAUCUGAUGAAAAGCCGUGUUUCAAACGGAUAAGUAAUAAUGCGCAGGGUGCAGAACUCCUAAAGUCCUUGUCCUUUCCUAAGUGAGAGAAAGGGCUUUUGUUAUUUGCAACAAGCCCUUUGGAUCACAACUGAGCUUGUGCUAAAGUGGAGACUUAGUGUGGGGGUCCCUACGCAGCCUGUGGAUUGGGGCUGGAUAUGAGGGAGAGCAAGUCAUUAGACAAAGCAAGUCAUUAGACAUUAGACAAGACAUUAGACAGAGCAAGUCAUUAGACAGUAAGAGGCCCCUUCCACGGAUGAGGGGCUAUAUAAAAGAACAAGACUUGAAAAGCUUCUGGGCUAGUGCCUCCACAUGCCGGGAGGACGAAGCUCCCCAGUUCCAUGGGGGCAAAAGACCUGAACAGACACUUCACCAAAGAGGACAUACAGGUAGCAGGCCAAGUUUUGUCGACCACAGUGCCAGUGACCAUCUGGAGCCUGAUCAUUCUGCAUUAUGAGGCAGUCCUGGGCAUCCUAGGACGUUUAGCAGCUUCCCUGACCUCUACCCACUAGACUAUGCCGAGUGCACUGCAAUCAAAAAUGUCUCCAGGGCAGCCCGGGGGGCGGGGGGGCCCAGGGGUCUAGUGCUGCCUUCAGUCCA
Molecule: long non-coding RNA, 1328 nt
Organism: Canis lupus familiaris (dog)
Lineage: Eukaryota; Metazoa; Chordata; Mammalia; Carnivora; Canidae
Exons: 5
Source: RefSeq, a predicted model, not a curated record